GAUGAACGCCGGCGGCGUGCCUAAUACAUGCAAGUCGAGCGAACGGACGAGAAGCUUGCUUCUCUGAUGUUAGCGGCGGACGGGUGAGUAACACGUGGAUAACCUACCUAUAGGACUGGGAUAACUUCGGGAAACCGGAGCUAAUACCGGAUAAUAUUUUGAACCGCAUGGUUCAAAAGUGAAAGACGGUCUUGCUGUCACUUAUAGAUGGAUCCGCGCUGCAUUAGCUAGUUGGUAAGGUAACGGCUUACCAAGGCAACGAUGCAUAGCCGACCUGAGAGGGUGAUCGGCCACACUGGAACUGAGACACGGUCCAGACUCCUACGGGAGGCAGCAGUAGGGAAUCUUCCGCAAUGGGCGAAAGCCUGACGGAGCAACGCCGCGUGAGUGAUGAAGGUCUUCGGAUCGUAAAACUCUGUUAUUAGGGAAGAACAUAUGUGUAAGUAACUGUGCACAUCUUGACGGUACCUAAUCAGAAAGCCACGGCUAACUACGUGCCAGCAGCCGCGGUAAUACGUAGGUGGCAAGCGUUAUCCGGAAUUAUUGGGCGUAAAGCGCGCGUAGGCGGUUUUUUAAGUCUGAUGUGAAAGCCCACGGCUCAACCGUGGAGGGUCAUUGGAAACUGGAAAACUUGAGUGCAGAAGAGGAAAGUGGAAUUCCAUGUGUAGCGGUGAAAUGCGCAGAGAUAUGGAGGAACACCAGUGGCGAAGGCGACUUUCUGGUCUGUAACUGACGCUGAUGUGCGAAAGCGUGGGGAUCAAACAGGAUUAGAUACCCUGGUAGUCCACGCCGUAAACGAUGAGUGCUAAGUGUUAGGGGGUUUCCGCCCCUUAGUGCUGCAGCUAACGCAUUAAGCACUCCGCCUGGGGAGUACGACCGCAAGGUUGAAACUCAAAGGAAUUGACGGGGACCCGCACAAGCGGUGGAGCAUGUGGUUUAAUUCGAAGCAACGCGAAGAACCUUACCAAAUCUUGACAUCCUUUGACAACUCUAGAGAUAGAGCCUUCCCCUUCGGGGGACAAAGUGACAGGUGGUGCAUGGUUGUCGUCAGCUCGUGUCGUGAGAUGUUGGGUUAAGUCCCGCAACGAGCGCAACCCUUAAGCUUAGUUGCCAUCAUUAGGUUGGGCACUCUAAGUUGACUGCCGGUGACAAACCGGAGGAAGGUGGGGAUGACGUCAAAUCAUCAUGCCCCUUAUGAUUUGGGCUACACACGUGCUACAAUGGACAGUACAAAGGGCAGCGAAACCGCGAGGUCAAGCAAAUCCCAUAAAGUUGUUCUCAGUUCGGAUUGUAGUCUGCAACUCGACUACAUGAAGCUGGAAUCGCUAGUAAUCGUAGAUCAGCAUGCUACGGUGAAUACGUUCCCGGGUCU
Molecule: ribosomal RNA, 1372 nt
Filed under: uncultured bacterium
Lineage: Bacteria
Description: bacterial SSU rRNA
Rfam family: Bacterial small subunit ribosomal RNA
Source: RNAcentral